CUCGGGGUGUGGGGUCCUUCAGCCCAGAGUUGUGACAGGACACAGGCUAGGCCGAGGGACCCCACUGGUGCACG
RNAcentral lists this microRNA precursor (74 nucleotides) under Myotis brandtii (Brandt's bat). RNAcentral's name for it is "mir-9193 microRNA precursor family". It matches the Rfam family "mir-9193 microRNA precursor family". Lineage: Eukaryota; Metazoa; Chordata; Mammalia; Chiroptera; Vespertilionidae. The record is from Rfam by way of RNAcentral.